ACAUCCAUAUCACGUUGAAUGACCGGUUCCCGUAAAAUCACCGAAGUUAAGCAACGUUAGCCUGUUUAGUACCUAGAUGGGUGACCGCUUGGAAGUACAAGGUGUUGUAA
Acanthosepion pharaonis is the source of this 110-nucleotide non-coding RNA. NCBI's taxonomy places the organism in Eukaryota, Metazoa, Mollusca, Cephalopoda, Sepiida, Sepiidae. The record is from the annotation of a GenBank genome assembly.